This 253-nucleotide ribosomal RNA is filed under the name uncultured bacterium. RNAcentral's name for it is "partial 16S ribosomal RNA". It matches the Rfam family "Bacterial small subunit ribosomal RNA", at positions 524 to 776 of the family's 1533-position model. The record is from RNAcentral.
UACGUAGGGUGCGAGCGUUAAUUGGAAUUACUGGGCGUAAAGCGUGCGCAGGCGGUUUUGUAAGACAGCUGUGAAAUCCCCGGGCUCAACCUGGGAACUGCGGUUGUGACUGCAAGACUGGAGUACGGCAGAGGGGGGUGGAAUUCCACGUGUAGCAGUGAAAUGCGUAGAGAUGUGGAGGAACACCGAUGGCGAAGGCAGCCCCCUGGGCUAGUACUGACGCUCAUGCACGAAAGCGUGGGGAGCAAACAGG